GUGAAGGGUGGUGAAAAUGCGUUCUUUGCUCCCUUCCCCGCAGAAUUGGUAACCCUUCUAUUUGCAUAUAUCUUGAAUCGUUUCGCUGCAAUUCUCCCGCCACCGAACCCACACCCAUAUCUAGAUUGCACUUUGAGGCCUCUUCGGUGGUGAAGAUUGUUGGAUUACAACCCUUCAAAUCCAGGCUCAAAUUCAACUCCAGACUGAUGGGGCCUCUGUCUUGGAACUCUUGAAAUUGUAGGAGUUGAAACCCUGCACCCUCCUCCCACCCCCCAAAUAAUUGCAUUUCAGGAGAGAAAAAAGAAAAUAAAAACUUUGACUCUCUUCUCUAAACUCUUGAACCACCUCGAAAGUUCACAUGUUAAUAAUCCUCAUGUCGUCUUCUGUGUUCGUGCCUGCAAAAAGCCACUAUGUUGAAAUCAGUACAACUUUAAGCCAAGAUCUAAAAAUGCGUUCAGUGUAAACUUACUGCCUAUGUUCUGGAAUUGUGAUUCUGUACACCGUUAAGGUUGUCAUAAUGCUUUGUUUAAAGCAACAACUUUCUGCCCAUCUGUAUUUUUGAAAAAAAUAGUUUAUUUUUGGUAGAGAUGGAGGCGGGUCAUUGGUGUUAAUUAAAUAAACCUGAACCCCCAUUAGUGGCUCUAAUUUAUUUGCUGUUAAGAUUAAGUAGUAUUUAAUUGGUGGUCAAUAAAUGGAAUUGAUUAUUAAUCAAUGGAUACCUUUGAGUGAAGAUACAGUAUUUUACCUGUAUCAUUUAAACCUAAAGUUUUCUACAUUUUUAAUUAUUUAAAAAGCAUUGUUCCAACCUUUUUGGAAUUGUUGCACAAAAUGAUUUUAGUUCAAGAUAUUUACUUAUAUGUAUAAGUAUGCUGUGUGGUAAGUUUGUAAACGUGCAGAAGAUAAUUAUAGAUGAGGAAUUCAGUGUCCUCAGAAGUAACUGACAACACCCUGUGAAUUGUUAUUAUUAACAGAAAUCAAAUUCUUCCUGAAUAUUCCUUUACUGCUUAGUGUAUGCUUGUAAGUUAAAGGGGGAAAGUUAAAAUGUAGCUGUUUAAUGUUUUCAGAGAAAAAUUUUCAUAAAAUGUCUGUUUGACUUUGAUUUUUUUAUAGUGAUAAAUAUUGAUGCGGCAGAAACUUUACCAGCUUAUAUUAACAAUCCCAGAAUCAUUGAAACCUAAAGGAUUUUUUUGUUUGUGAGCAUCUGUGGGUUUACUGAAGUUAUGUACUAACUUUCUACAGCUCCACUGAAAUAUUUAUGUUCUAUAAGAUUUGUAUAGCUCUUUAGACAUUUUAUGCAUUUGCUGUCUUACAGCCAGUAUUGUACCGAUUAACUGUAUUUGCUGUUUUCCAGUUUAUUUCCAAGGGGAUUUACUAAGUUACAUGAAUUGUAAAGUUUUAGAAGUAUAUUUUCAGAAAGCUUGGUUGUUACAGAGUUCUUCAGCUUUUUGUUGCUAUUUGUCUGAAUAUAAUUUUGUUGCUGUUUAUAUAAAUAUAAAAACUAGCAUUGUUAGUAUGGGGUAAGAAUUGAAAGCAUUUCAUUGAGAUGUACGACAUUUACAUUAAAAUGACUUGUAGGUUUUUAUUUUACUGGACCUAAAUUUCAGAAAUGGGAAAAACAACUAUUUUAAUUCCAUCCUCAUAAUAAUUUCUAAGUUAAUAUUUUUGGUAUAGUAUUUGAGAGUAGAAUUCCAAUAAGAAGCAAUGAAAAUCAUACAAAUAAAGGGAGACUGUAAGUGUCCUGUUUAUAAUUUGUGAAAACUAGAUGACCAAGGGUAUUAAAAAUAGAACUAAAAUAAAAGGGAAAAAUAAGGACUUUAGUGAGACUUGUAGGGAGAUCCACAUAAAAUGAACAGAUUUUAGUCUUUAAAACCUCUAUUUUGCCAGCUCAAAAGUUUUAUUUUUACGUAGAAAGAACUAAGGAAACUUAAGUGAUUUGAAAUGGCCGAUACAGAAACACUUGUGAGCUUGAGAUGAGCAGGAGCUAAAAUAAGUGAAAGAGAGGACUGAGAGAGAAGGAUCAUGGGAGUGAUUCAUUUGCUGAACAAGUAAAUGUUCAGUGAGCUCUGAUUGGCAGGAUGGGAGGAGUAUAGGGCCGUGGGGGAUGUGUCUGGAUCUCCUUGGGAGCCUUAUUGACAGUAUUAGCUUGGUCAGUGGCUAUAGAGUAGGAGAUGUACAGAGUGGAAGAAGCAAGAGCAUUUGUUUUUUUAAGGUAUUUGUAUUUGCUUGAGUUUUUGAGACUUGAAAGUCUUCCUCCCCACCUGUUUUCUUAAUGAGUGAAACAUUUUUAACAUUGAUUGGUUGUUCUGUACCCCUUACUUGACCAUUACCAUGCACUGCCUUUGGUGUUAAUCAUUACAAAACAGUCUUUUAUUACAGUAGUAAUAUAUCUCCUCCUAUAAAGGAAGUGGGGAAAAACCUAACAGUAAGUUUGCGAUGAGACUUUAAAUGCACAAACUGAAAUGUAAUUAUAAGUGACAUCGAAAUUGUGUACACAUUGGAAGUUUUUGGUAAGAGUUGUAAAGAUGCGAUAGUUGCAGUUACUAUAGAUGGUAUAUUUAGUGUGCUAUAUAGUAAUCUGCAAAGAACUACCUCCCUUUGUGGUUUAUUUGUAUAAUGGUGAUUAUGCUAUAGAAUACUGCUUGAGUGCAUUGUAUUUGCUAGCCAUCAUUUACUAGCAAGUUGUUCCUAUUGAGGUUUAUUGUAUUUUAAUAUAGUUGUGCUGGAGAUAGUUCCCUACUAUGGAAGUUUCCUAGAUUAUUAAAACAUUAAGUAGUAAAUGUAUUAAAACACUACCACAGAGGUCAAAUUAAGGUUUCUUGGCAUACUGGUAAAACAAAAUACAGGAAUUACGUAAGAAAUCUGGUAUGAUUUCUGGCAGAUUUCUGCUGUUUCUGUACGUUGCACGCGAUCGGUAUUUAAUAAAGAUCUUUUGAAUGAAUUAAAUACAUUGUUUUGGUGAACUGUCAGGUCAGUGAUCCCUCAGUGUUUGCAUGUUGAUUCAUUUAUUUCAUAUUUGUUGAAUACUUAGUAAAAAAUAAUAGGUCUUGCUGUCAGUGGUGCAUACAUAGUAGUGAAAGAAAUCAAAAAACAAAUUUUAAAAGCCAGAUAAUGGUGACUUACGUAGAGAAUUGAAAUAGGGUGAGGUAAUGUGAUAGUGCAUGACUGGGUGGCUACUUUUAAAGUAACUAGUCACAGAAGGCCUUUCUAAAUAAGGUGACAUUUAAACUGAGAUCUGAAUAAUGAUAAGCACUCAGAGAUGGGGAGAGAUUUUCUGUAGGGAAAGACCUUUAAGACUGUGUUUUGGGAAUCAAAAAAGGUGAAAGCACUGAAAGAGAAGAUAGAAUCUGAAAAAGGGAAAGAUGCCUUUCCUGUGGCAGGUCAAAAAUUAAUUUAUGCAGG
Vicugna pacos (alpaca) is the source of this 3399-nucleotide non-coding RNA. Lineage: Eukaryota; Metazoa; Chordata; Mammalia; Artiodactyla; Camelidae. The record is from RefSeq and is a predicted model, not a curated record.